This 427-nucleotide ribosomal RNA is filed under the name uncultured bacterium. RNAcentral's name for it is "partial 16S ribosomal RNA". It matches the Rfam family "Bacterial small subunit ribosomal RNA", at positions 354 to 796 of the family's 1533-position model. The record is from RNAcentral.
GUGGGGAAUAUUGGGCAAUGGGGGAAACCCUGACCCAGCGACGCCGCGUGAGGGAAGAAGGCCUUAGGGUCGUAAACCUCUGUUGUGUGGGAAGAAGAGCGUGACGGUACCACACGAGGAAGUCCCGGCUAACUACGUGCCAGCAGCCGCGGUAAUACGUAGGGGACGAGCGUUGUCCGGAUUUACUGGGCGUAAAGGGCGCGUAGGCGGUCAUUUAAGUCAGCUGUGAAAUGGUUUGGCUUAACCGGAUCAUGCGGUUGAAACUGGAUGACUGGAGUGCUGGAGAGGCAAGUGGAAUUCCCAGUGUAGCGGUGAAAUGCGUAGAUAUUGGGAAGAACACCGGUGGCGAAGGCGACUUGCUGGCCAGCAACUGACGCUGAGGCGCGAAAGCCAGGGGAGCAAACGGGAUUAGAAACCCUGGUAGUCC